CAGCCUCAGCACUCUAGUCACUCUCUCUGAGCUGCUGUUGCUGCUGCUGCUGCUGCUGCAAUGUGUUCUGUCAUUGCCAAGCUCCCUUCGCUUCCACUCUCCCUCUCCAUCGUCUCCUCAUCUUCUUCUUCCUCCAAGGAUGGGAAAACCAACUCAAAGUCGGUGAAGCUGAGAGAGGACUGGCGGCAACGCUCCAGGGCCAUCCCACCCGGCGGCACUUACCCGGCUAAAGACCACUGCAGUCGUUGCGGGUUGUGUGACACAUAUUACAUUGCCCAUGUCAAGGAAGCUUGUGCUUUCUUAGGAGAUGGAAUGUCUAAGAUUGAAGGUUUGGAACCUGUAGUUCAUGGUAGAGGGAGGAAACCGGGUUCCUCAGAUGAAAUGUACUUGGGUGUCUAUGAAGAGCUCUUGUAUGCUCGUAAAGUAAAGCCUGUCGAAGGAGCUCAGUGGACAGGAAUAGUAACAACUAUUGCAAUCGAAAUGCUGAAAUCAGGCAUGGUGGAGGCCGUCAUUUGUGUACAGAGUGACCCAAACGACAGAUUUACUCCUCGACCUGUAUUAGCAAGGACACCAGAGGAAGUUCUAGCUGCUAGAGGUGUCAAGCCGACAUUAUCUCCUAAUCUGAAUACCCUUGCCCUAGUUGAGGCUGCAGGUGUAAAAAAGCUUCUAUUCUGUGGUGUGGGUUGCCAGGUGCAAGCAUUACGAUCUGUGGAGCACCACUUAAAUUUGGACAAGCUCUACGUGCUAGGAACAAAUUGCGUGGACAACGGGACUCGAGAAGGCCUUGAUAAGUUUCUGAAGGCUGCGAGUAGUGAACCAGAGACAGUUCUUCAUUACGAGUUUAUGCAAGAUUACAAGGUUCACUUGAAGCAUUUGGAUGGUCAUAUUGAAGAGGUUCCUUAUUUUUCUCUGCCAGCAAAUGACUUAGUUGAUGUAAUUGCUCCUUCUUGUUAUAGCUGUUUUGACUAUACAAAUGGUUUAGCGGAUUUAGUUGUUGGAUACAUGGGGGUGCCGAAAUAUUCUGGAAUCAGCAUGACCCAACAUCCACAGUAUGUUACGGUAAGAAAUGAACGUGGAAGAGAGAUGCUCAGUCUGAUUAAAAAGCAUUUGGCGAUCACUCCAACAACUAGUAGUGGUACUCGCGGACCAUUUACCAUGGAGACUGUUAAGGCUGAUGAUACUGCUAAGAUGGGUACGUGGAGCAGCUUCUUUGAGAUACUUUUUUUGGAAAUGAAAAGGUCCUGAGCCUGCACCAAAGUUUGUCGGCAAUGUGAUCGCUUUCUUGUUAAACUUGAUUGGCCCAAAAGGUUUGGAAUUUGCUCGUUAUUCGCUCGAUUACCAUACCAUCCGGAACUACCUAUAUGUAAACCGAACAUGGGGAAAACAAAGAGCUGAUCAGCAUAUGCCUUCAUAUGCAAAGAAGAUUGUCGAUUCCUACAACAAGAAUGGUGAAAUCGAUCGGAUUCUUUCCACCAAGCCCAAGUGAUCGCAUUAGCUGGUGAAAAUGUAAAUGAAGUGGGAACUUCAAUGUCUAUGGAAUUUUGUCCUUAAUCUGUUCUGUAAGUACAUAUGAACGAUUGCAUAGCAAUAGUAUUUUUGUUUAACUCGACCAAUUCUUCGGUCCUUCAAUAUUCCAUCCCAAGUUCUGUUUAGGCAUCAGUUGCAGACAAUGCAACGUAAGAUAGUUUUUCUUAUUAUCAUUGUGCCUGGGAUUGUUGGUUAAUUGAGUAGUGACUUUUCCCCCAUUCAAUAUAGGCUGUGUUCCUUGAA
Non-coding RNA from Malus domestica (apple), 1770 nucleotides. NCBI's taxonomy places the organism in Eukaryota, Viridiplantae, Streptophyta, Magnoliopsida, Rosales, Rosaceae. The record is from RefSeq and is a predicted model, not a curated record.